UAUGAGGAAGAUGAAGCAGAGUCUACAUCUGAAGACGAUGUGGAAGAUCGUCGCAAUGAGUUGCAACAUUUUUCAUCGGAUUAUCAGACUGCAAGCUAUGUUGAGCAUGAACAUGGCUCGCGCGAUUGGGAUAUUCCAUUUCUGCACAUUGAAAGCAUAUUACAGUUGGGGUGGGAAGAGUAUCAUCCAAUAGCCUACGGACUGCUCGAGGUAGGGG
RNAcentral lists this long non-coding RNA (217 nucleotides) under Salvia miltiorrhiza (redroot sage). Its description in RNAcentral is "long non-coding RNA (SMIL_LNC014177)". Lineage: Eukaryota; Viridiplantae; Streptophyta; Magnoliopsida; Lamiales; Lamiaceae. The record is from RNAcentral.